CUCAUUACUGUUCACAUUAGACUGUAUGUUAACUUAUAAAUUGAUUAACACGACUGCCGACUUUAACAAUGCUCGUUUGGAACAUUUGGAAAUUAUUACUUCUAUUCUCUAUAGCUCUAUUGUAUCUAUCAAGAAAGCGCUUCACUGGCUACGGUUAUGUUAAAAGACAGAAUGGCCACAACAAUAAAAAUUUGGAUGUUUGGUUCGUCGAAUAUUCGCGAAUGAAUCCAAAAUAGUACAGAGACCAUGUUAAUUAAUAAAUCUGGGUUUUCACAUUCUUCGAUUGGUCUAAA
Molecule: long non-coding RNA, 293 nt
Organism: Pieris brassicae (large cabbage white)
Lineage: Eukaryota; Metazoa; Arthropoda; Insecta; Lepidoptera; Pieridae
Exons: 2
Source: RefSeq, a predicted model, not a curated record